This 1407-nucleotide long non-coding RNA is filed under the name Monodelphis domestica (gray short-tailed opossum). RNAcentral describes it as "lncRNA (ENSMODG00000041265.1)". The record is from RNAcentral. Lineage: Eukaryota; Metazoa; Chordata; Mammalia; Didelphimorphia; Didelphidae.
AUUUAAUAGACAUUUGUUGAACUUCAUAUUUGUUGAAUUGCAGAUGGGAAUACAUAGAAAACCAAGGAAAGGACCCAUUUACUUGAACCACUUACAAGAAUUCAAGUUGAUGAGACUCCUUGUGUAUGAUGAUGACUUACAGAUCUUCCCAUUUGCAGACAAGCCUGGAAUAAUUCAGAACUUCUUAGAUGUGAGCCAGAAUUACUUUCUAGAGUAAUUUAGUCUGACAGGACACACAGAAAAGACCAGAAGAUAAAGAAUGGUUAUUGCCCAGAUUGUAACAUGCAUUUAGACAGAAAAUCAAUAGAUCUUGCCCAUAUUACGUACAUUUAGGACAGACAAUACAGAUGCACUGAUAGACAAGUUGGGUCCAGAGUUGAAUAGGAGGAGUAGAGUGGGAUGGAUUGCCUUCAGUAAAUGGCAAAACUCCCUUUUUGACCUGAAUCUUCCUAUAAAAAAGCAAAGACUCAUUUAAAAAAUGAUGGCAUUCUAGAGUGUUACUCUUUGGUGGCAAGAUAAAAAAUGCAAUAACCUUAAAUACAGCAUGAAUUGAAGAGGCCCAGAGCAGUGUUUUACAUACAAACUAUACAUACACACAUAUGCACAGUGAUUGUGGUGCUGCAAAAAUAAGUGGGGCAAUCAGAAGUGACCCCUUAGAAAAGGUGGCACUUAAACUGAGCCUUAAAAGAUUUUAAGAGGCACAGGUAAAGUGGAGAGCACUCCAAGUAUGGAAAAUAGCCUUUGCUAAGGCAAAGGAGGGAGAUGAGAGACUAGAGGAGUACUUAUUCUGGAAAACUGCUUAAUAAUUUGUGAUUGAAAAGAAAAGAACCAAGAUAAAGUAAAUAAUGUAGGAUUUUUAGUAGAGUAGUAUUGGGCAAUUAGGUGGUGUAGGACUGGACUUGAGUUCUAGUUUCAGGGAAGUCUAGAUUCAGGGAAGAUAAGAGUUCAGAUUUGACCUUAGACACUUGUAAGCUGUGUGAUCCUCUGUAAGACACCUAAACUUACCUUGAUUUUCUCAUCUGUAAAGUGGAGAUUAAUAAUAGCACCCAUCCUCUCAGGGUUGUUGUGAUGAAAAAAUGAGAUGAUAUUUGUAAAGUACUAUAUAAAUGCUAGCUGCUAUUAUUAAUUUAUUUUUAUUCUUAAGGCAAGUAGGGAGCCACUCGAACUUUUUUGGUUUAGUGAUCAACUUAACUUUCAGGACCAUGAAGAAUGAAUUAGAGAGAAGAGACACUGGAUAUAGGGAGAUCUACUAGGAAUCUAUUACAAUUGUCCAGGCAAGAGGUGAGAAGGGCUUGAAUUAGUGGCUGAGAUCCAAGUAGAGAGAAGAGGUCCGAUGUAAGAGAUGUGGAGGAGGUGGAAUUGACAGGGUGUAAUAAAAUAAUGAACUGAGAGAAACUUACUUGUUGA